UUUUUUUUUUUUUUUUUGUGUGUUUUUUCUUGCGUGUAAAAUCCAGCCCCAAAAGCAAAUUGGCGACAAGAACAAUAACAAAACAGUUAUAAAGCGGCAAACACAUCUCCAGCUAAACUGUUUUGCCCUGUUGGAAACUGGCUAAUGAUGCGACGACUUCAAUUUGCAUAAGAUGUGUUUUAUUUUUACCAAGCUGGAAGCUGGAAAUAAGUA
Long non-coding RNA from Drosophila nasuta, 213 nucleotides. RefSeq lists it as uncharacterized. The transcript has 4 exons. NCBI's taxonomy places the organism in Eukaryota, Metazoa, Arthropoda, Insecta, Diptera, Drosophilidae. The record is from RefSeq and is a predicted model, not a curated record.